RNAcentral lists this long non-coding RNA (347 nucleotides) under Nicotiana benthamiana. RNAcentral's name for it is "long non-coding RNA (NBEN_LNC003700)". Lineage: Eukaryota; Viridiplantae; Streptophyta; Magnoliopsida; Solanales; Solanaceae. The record is from RNAcentral.
UAGCUAUAGCUAAGGAUAACAGUUUAGUUGACGCAACCCCUCAUGCCAGUUUUUACAGUUUCUGCCUCGGGUAUGAAUCAACAGUGCCACUUCUCUACAAAACUGAUCUUCAACAAAAACCUUGCUAUCAAAACGAAUAGAGUUCCUGGCUCUCCAGAUCAAUGCAACAGUAGUGACAAAAGCAGUAGCAGUGAGUGCUUUAUGCCAUAUUUUGCUCCGAGCCUUGCUGCAUAUCCAUUGAAGUUCAUUCUCUCAAGUGCUAACUAUUUGAUUAUAACCCAUCCAACAGCAUAUUCUGAGCCAUAAUCGAUUAGUGACUGGGCAUGCAAAGAAUAAAUGCUCAAACC